Molecule: ribosomal RNA, 103 nt
Filed under: uncultured bacterium
Lineage: Bacteria
Description: partial 16S ribosomal RNA
Rfam family: Bacterial small subunit ribosomal RNA
Source: RNAcentral
ACGAAGGUCUUCGGAUUGUAAACUCCUUUUAAGGGGGAAGAAUUCCUGAGUGAAUAACUCAGAUUGACGGUACCCCUUGAAUAAGCCACGGCUAACUACGUGC